UGUAGGUGGAGAGAAGCUUAUGGGUAAAGGGCAAAAGAGAGACGCCGUAGCUCUUCCACGGGCCCUCAUCGUGGGCCCGCACGAAUCUUGAUGAAGCUUAUAUCGAUUCUGCACCCGUCUUCAAGACGGGACACGAGUCGACGACAGCGCGAGUGUGCAUCGAGGGCCUGCGCGAAUCUCGGUGAGAUCCAUCAUGAUUCUACGCGAAACUCAAAGCGUCGUCUCAUGGAGACUUGUUUCUUCUACUUGCGUGCUCGAGUCCUGGUUUCGUUUGGUGGCCGAGCGACAUGGCGGAGGAACAACUUGGAGGACAUUUGAAUUCCACGCUGUGAGCCAAGAUGGGAGGACUGGUGUGUGGGUAUCACAUGGGUAUUGGUAACCACUCUUUGCAUCAUUCCCCUGGUGACUCCCAGUGAAAGGCUGCUGACUACCUCUAUCUUUGAGACUAAGUUUUGACUGUUGGAGAAAAGGAAAGCAAAUCUAUCAACUGUGGAACCAAACCUGAUCAUACCGGCAUCUUCUUUUUAUCAUGCAUUUGCAGCUCUGGACUUUCUUUAUCCGUCCAUCGAGGACUGUGGCACUGAACAAUGCCGUUUUUCCUUGGGCUGGCUUUGGGUAUAGAUCUCUUCUGUAGGUGGUGAGCAAACAUGAAAGAUGAAGACUCUUCCUGCAAUCAGCAUGUUUGUCAUGUGUUACUGUUGGUCUUCGCAAAUGCUUGGCAACGCACUCGGAGUAAACUUUGACCUUCACAAGAAACUUCUCAUUUUUCAUCAUAUGUGGCAUAUCUAAUGUUAAGGUUCACGAGUGGUCCGCUGCUCAUGGCAUUUACCUUCGUUCUUUGUUGAAUUCGUACGGUGCUUAACAGGACGAUCACAAAUGCCUUAUAAUGGAUGAAUAACUACACUAUUUCCCUGAGGAGACAAUUCUUGGCAAUGUUCUUUCAUGUGUCGAUGAGCGGAUGACGAAUCACACACCGUGUCGAAACAAAGAAAUAAUCUUCCAUCUUGUGAAUGCAGCCAGCAUGGAAACAUCUUCCGUUGCAAAUUUAGAUGCCGUGCCGCCAUCUUACUCGAACAACCAGUAUGCUCCGCAGUUCCUUAUCUCUGUUCUCACGAUACAAAUCUGAGGAAGUGUGAUAUGCUAAUGCAUCGGCGGUGUAUUCAAGUGCCACCAAAAAUCCCAGAGACGUCGACCAAAUAUGUCCGACAGCCGAUCUAUUGGAAGAUUUCUUUGGUGCAGAACCUGAUGAGAUAUGAGAUGACACCCCAAGUUAGCGGACGCAUGUGGAACUCGGAACGCACUCGAAUUCUGCUUGCUAUCGAACCUUUGCUUCCGCUUACGGUGUCGUGAGAUGGAGAUCGAAAGCAGUUUCCCAAUGGCGUGGAUCUCCAUUUCCAUCAUAUCGUGAGAGAUUUCAUCCUUGAGGUCUAAGAAAGAUGGGAAUCGGGUCAAAAGCAGUUGAUGACGCUGAUGGAAUCAUGUGUUGGGCAACUUAAUUCAUAUUGCGGUCAAUUCCUUGGGAAGCUAAGUUGACAAUCUUGACAUGAUGGGUUGGGUGUGGAUCUAAAUCUCGACUCCGUCGUUCUCCCACCGGCACAUGCUGACCCACACCCAGUUGAAGGAGCUCAUCGAGUGGUCCGGGUUGGUGAACUACCAGUGAUUCAUUUUUCUCUUCCACCUAAUCCCUCUGAAACCGAAGACCACUGAUUCGCAACCAUCAUUCCAAGGCUUUCUCUCUCUCUCUCUCUCUCUUUCUCUCUCUUCUGUGCAAGCCAAGCCUAUGGCCGCUUCUUUCUCCUACUUGGGUGCGUGUGUGAGAUGCAUCGACUGCUGCUGGUUUUGUUUCUCGACUCGCCUGACAACUUCAAUCCGCUGUCUCCUCCUUCGAGCCAUCAAAGCCUGCAGUUCUGUUGACUCGCUUGUCAUACGCAAGCUAAGUAUUUCUCUAGAUGCUGCUAACGUGAUCAUGGUCCCUUAAGAUUGUCAUUUUGUGGACACCCAACACCUCUCUUCUUCUUCUUCUUCUGCUUAGGACAAGACGAGCUUGGGAUUGCCACGUGAAACCCGCCAAACUAGCCAUCAAGAAUGCAUGUACAACUAGGAUUUAACGUGUGUUUGUGGAAGGCAAUAAGUGCCUUGGGAUCUUUCCUUAUCACGCAAGACCAUGACUACUUCAACAGUGCCACUCUGACAUGUGUUCACCGACAGGUCAUCUGAGAGGAGGCGGGUUGUUUAGCUACCGGCCGUCACCUAGAAGAAGACGACGACGACGACGACGACGGCAUGGGCCAUGGCCAUUACUUUGCGGUGCAGAGAUGUAGCUGCUACGAGUCAACCGGGUAGGGGAUUCGAUACGGAGACAGCGGUUGUGUCCGAAGCACGGCGAGCUCGGUGGAGGUGUGUUUCGGAUUGAUUACGACCCAAAGCUUCACAUCGCAGCACAGGAGGUGAAAGAUGCUGCGAGGGGGCGGUGGUGCGAAGGGAGGAAGUGCCCCCUCAUAAUAGUGAUAGGAAUUUUGCUCUUCAUGUGUGUUUUAGGAAGCCAUCUCGUGCAUUCGCUUUAACAAAAUGAGUGAGAUUGUAUGUCAAGUUCUUCUUAAAGGAGCGAGAAGCGUCGUCAUGAACGGUACAAGUUUUGAUGGAUGUCUGACUGCAUAUUGGAUUCA
This is a long non-coding RNA of Musa acuminata AAA Group (dessert banana), 2666 nucleotides long. RefSeq lists it as uncharacterized. The transcript is spliced from 7 exons. Lineage: Eukaryota; Viridiplantae; Streptophyta; Magnoliopsida; Zingiberales; Musaceae. The record is from RefSeq and is a predicted model, not a curated record.